UACGUAGGUGGCGAGCGUUAUCCGGAUUUACUGGGCGUAAAGGGAGCGUAGGCGGAUGAUUAAGUGGGAUGUGAAAUACCCGGGCUCAACUUGGGUGCUGCAUUCCAAACUGGUUAUCUAGAGUGCAGGAGAGGAGAGUGGAAUUCCUAGUGUAGCGGUGAAAUGCGUAGAGAUUAGGAAGAACACCAGUGGCGAAGGCGACUCUCUGGACUGUAACUGACGCUGAGGCUCGAAAGCGUGGGGAGCAAACAAG
This 253-nucleotide ribosomal RNA is filed under the name uncultured bacterium. Its description in RNAcentral is "partial 16S ribosomal RNA". It matches the Rfam family "Bacterial small subunit ribosomal RNA", at positions 524 to 776 of the family's 1533-position model. The record is from RNAcentral.